This 494-nucleotide ribosomal RNA is filed under the name uncultured bacterium. RNAcentral describes it as "partial 16S ribosomal RNA". It matches the Rfam family "Bacterial small subunit ribosomal RNA", at positions 28 to 507 of the family's 1533-position model. The record is from RNAcentral.
GACGAACGCUGGCGGCGCGCUUAACACAUGCAAGUCGAACGGAAAGGCCUGCUUUCCCUUGUGGACUGCGGGUACUCGCGUGGCGAACGGGUGAGUAACACGUGCUUCAUCUGCCCCCAACUUGGGUAUAAGCCUGGGAAACUGGGUCUAAUUCCCGUUAGGACUGCAGGGUGGUGGCUGUGGUGGCAAACGAUUUUCUAGUGUGUGGGGAUGAGCUCGCGGCGUAUCAGCUUGUUGGUGGGGUAAUGGCCGACCAAGGCGGCGACCGGGAGCGGGACGGGGAGGGUGGACAGUCGAAUUGGGACUGGGACAAGGCCCAGACGCGUGCGGGCGGCAGGGAUGGGGAAACAUGGAGAAUGAGCGGGAUCCUGAUGCAGCGACGCCGCGUGGGGGAUGACGGCCUUCGGGUGGUAAUCUACUUUGGAGCGAGAGGAAGCCACCUGGUUGGAAGGGUGGUGACGGUAGUGGUAGAAGAAGCACCGGCUAACUACGUG